UCUUCAAGGAAAUAUAUCUUGUUUUGUCAAAAACUGGAAUCAUUCAAAGCAGGUCUAAUGAUUUUCAUUAAAGUGUUUUUUUUUUCAAUUUCAAAUAAAUAUAGGGUUGGGUUGUCCAAGUUGUUUUUCUGUUUAAGGUGAUGGAGUUAAAGAAAAUUGGAGGAACUGGAUUAAAAAAUGUCGUUUACAAUCUGCUCACUAAGAUCUCAAAGUUCUUAACCAAUGAGAUCACUGAAAAGUACAGUUGGUUUGGAGCUAAGGGCAAAUGAGCCUCAACCUGCUCUGACUAAAGUGGCCUAAUCAAAAAUAUUGUAUGCUGUCAUUUCAAUGAUGCCACGGAUGUGAACAUAGAAGUUCUGGUAAAGAAAUGACUGUCAAAAGCCAAGGAAAGGCUGCAGAGAGAUGCCACGUAAAAAAAAAAAAACUAUGGACUAUUGGAUGAAAAUGGAGUAUCAAUUCCUGAUAAAAACUAAGUGACAACAUUAUUAAAUUGUUAAUAUAUCUAUUGUUACAUUUUGAUACAUUAUUAUAUUGUUAAUUGUUCCAAUAUAUAUAUAUAUAUAUAUAUAUUUACCAGUGGAAUUGAAACCAUCUGUGUAAAUUAUUGGAAUAGAUAUCAAAAAUUGCUAAUAAAAGAGUAUGUAUCCCUCACAAGAAGCAAAUUUGUUUGCCGUGACCUGUGAGUCACAUCCCACACAGCACAUAAGCUUAAACCAAGUUUGUUUUUUAUUAGUUUUCAAUGCUGUCAAGCAAGUUUGUCACUACAAGUCAGUUUCAAGUUGAUUAUAGACCUGUUUCUAAUGCCGGGUCUACACGACAACGAUAUUUGCGCAAACUUGGCUCAAAGCCAGGUUUACGCAAAUCUGGCUUUGAGCCAAGUUUGCUCAAGCCUCUGUUCACACGACACCAACUUCAACACAAACCUGUAUUAUAAACUAAAUCAUAUAUAAAUUAUAUACGAAAUCUUUGAAGUGUUUAUAAACUUGAGAUGAAUAGUAAAUCAAGCCUCCACCUCCUCCUCCCCCACCACGACCACCUCCUCCUCCACCACCAC
Nilaparvata lugens (brown planthopper) is the source of this 1054-nucleotide long non-coding RNA. RefSeq lists it as uncharacterized. NCBI's taxonomy places the organism in Eukaryota, Metazoa, Arthropoda, Insecta, Hemiptera, Delphacidae. The transcript has 3 exons. The record is from RefSeq and is a predicted model, not a curated record.